This is an RNA transcript of Ornithodoros turicata, 856 nucleotides long. RefSeq lists it as uncharacterized. The transcript is spliced from 4 exons. The record is from RefSeq and is a predicted model, not a curated record. NCBI's taxonomy places the organism in Eukaryota, Metazoa, Arthropoda, Arachnida, Ixodida, Argasidae.
UUAAGAAAACGAAAGCGAAAAUGCAACAUGCUGGCAUUCCAAGGGUAGCAGCACAUUUGAACGUCGACGUCCAAUUACUUUGGUUCGAAGAAGUGGAAGACUGCAUUCGGUUAGAAGCACGCGACUUGAAGAAGACUAAGCACGGCCUAUAGACCCAAACGCGUAACGAGCUCUCGCAGACUGCGUGGACUUCACGAUGCAGGUGAGGCCCUCCGCCAUGUCUGCAGCAGCUGGUUACUCUGCUCAGCAACAGGUACCAAACGCUACAGGGCAAGUUCCAGCAUGCCCGCCGUCAGCGCCGCCGCCACUCCCUCCACCCUCUGCUCGUGUGUCAGUGCGGAAUCUGCUUCGCCGCAACAUCCUGGGCGUCAAAGGCGGCCAGCCUGGGCAGCCACAACCCGUUCCAUAGAUUGUGUAUGAAAGCUGAAAAAAAAAAGCACAAGUGGCUACCACACAGACGCCCCCAACCCAAGAGGAUUUCUCGUAUUCGUGACGACCCGAAUUCAGGCUUCAAAAAUGUGUUUCUUCGUAGAAGGAUUGUGUCAAGAAUUCAUCAAAAGCUAGUCGCGUCUUCCUUUCUUUCUUUGUCUUUCUUUUUUUUUUUCGGCGAACGCCCGUGCUGCCCGACACGUCCACGUUUGCGAGCGCCUGGGGCGCCUCGUCGAUUACCGUAUAGUUAUCUAUGAUGACGACGACGACGACGACGGCGAUGACGAUGACGACGAUGCUGGUGGUGGUGGUGGUGGUGAACGGACCAAGAAAAAAAUGCAAGGAAAACUUGCCUUUCAUUCUCCCCUUUUACGUUUUCUUUGCUUAGUGUGCCACAGAUUGUCAUUAAAAUCGCUUCAGUGCUGCA